RNAcentral lists this ribosomal RNA (119 nucleotides) under Takifugu rubripes (torafugu). Lineage: Eukaryota; Metazoa; Chordata; Actinopteri; Tetraodontiformes; Tetraodontidae. The record is from RNAcentral. RNAcentral also lists the same sequence under 1 other name.
GCUUACGGCCAUACCACCCUGAGAACGCCCGAUCUCGUCCGAUCUCGGAAGCUAAGCAGGGUCGGGCCUGGUUAGUACUUGGAUGGGUGACCGCCUGGGAAUACCAGGUGCUGUAAGCU